UGAUAACCUUGGCUGGUUAUUACAGCAACAGC
Molecule: non-coding RNA, 32 nt
Filed under: Mus musculus (house mouse)
Lineage: Eukaryota; Metazoa; Chordata; Mammalia; Rodentia; Muridae
Source: RNAcentral